This 487-nucleotide ribosomal RNA is filed under the name uncultured bacterium. Its description in RNAcentral is "partial 16S ribosomal RNA". It matches the Rfam family "Bacterial small subunit ribosomal RNA", at positions 28 to 507 of the family's 1533-position model. The record is from RNAcentral.
GAUGAACGCUAGCGAUAGGCUUAACACAUGCAAGUCGAGGGGCAGCACAAGGUAGCUUGCUCUCUGGGUGGCGACCGGCGCACGGGUGCGUAACGCGUAUGCAACUUGCCCUAUACAGGAGGAUAACCCGUCGAAAGACGGACUAAUACUGCGUAUGCUCACAACUUGGCAUCAAGUGGUGAGGAAAGAAAUUCGGUAUAGGAUAGGCAUGCGUCCCAUUAGCUUGUUGGUGAGGUAACGGCUCACCAAGGCAACGAUGGGUAGGGGAACUGAGAGGUUUAUCCCCCACACUGGUACUGAGACACGGACCAGACUCCUACGGGAGGCAGCAGUGAGGAAUAUUGGUCAAUGGGCGCGAGCCUGAACCAGCCAAGUCGCGUGAAGGAUGACUGUCUUAUGGAUUGUAAACUUCUUUUAUACGGGAAUAACAAGAGUCACGGGUGACUCCCUGCAUGUACCGUAUGAAUAAGCAGCGGCUAACUCCGUG